GUUUGUUUGAAGUUAUAAAGAAUUUGACCUGCCCCCUGAUUAACUAUUAAAGGGCCGCAGUAUUAUAACUGUGCAAAGGUAGCAUAAUCAUUAGGUUUUUAAUUGAAAUCUCGUAUGAAUGGUUGGACAAAAGAAAGACUCUCUUUAUAUUAAGUUUUGAAUUUAACUUUUAAGUGAAAAGGCUUAAAUAUUCUAAAGGGACGAUAAGACCCUAUAAAACUUUACAUUAUCAUUAAUUUUGAUUGAAUUUAUAAAAUAAGAAUUUUAUUUGAUCAUCUGUUAUGUUGGGGAGACACAAGUAAAAUAUUUUUUUUAACUGCUUGAUAGUUAUACAAUUAUUAGUGAGUAAGUAGAAGAUCCUUUUUAAGAUUAGUAGAUUAAGUUACUUUAGGGAUAACAGUGUAAUUUCUUUUGAGAGUUCUUAUCGAAAAAGAAGGUUGCAACCUCGAUGUUGAAUUAAAAUAUCUAUAUAAUGGAGAGGUUAUAUAAGAAGGUCUGUUCGACCUUGAAAUUUUUACAUGAUUUGAGUUCAAACCGGUGUGAG
Molecule: ribosomal RNA, 544 nt
Filed under: Longpotamon acutum
Lineage: Eukaryota; Metazoa; Arthropoda; Malacostraca; Decapoda; Potamidae
Description: partial 16S ribosomal RNA
Rfam family: Bacterial large subunit ribosomal RNA
Source: RNAcentral